Molecule: long non-coding RNA, 5603 nt
Filed under: Brassica napus (rape)
Lineage: Eukaryota; Viridiplantae; Streptophyta; Magnoliopsida; Brassicales; Brassicaceae
Description: long non-coding RNA (BNAP_LNC007319)
Source: RNAcentral
CAGUUUAGUUGUAAAAUUGAGUUAUAAUUUCGCAUUGUUAUAAUAAAAAAAUAAAUUCCCAUCGUUAUAAUUUUGUAAUUAAACCAUAAUGUUAAUACGUUAUCUUGAAAUAAAAACUACGUUAUGUAAUUACGAGAUAACAAUUUUUAUAACUAACAGAAAUCAGACAAAAUAAGCUAUGCUCAACUUGUCAUGAUGAUGUUCUUGAUUUUGUGAGCUUCAUACACGAAAACCAUAUAUACCUCGAUUCGCUUUCUCUUUAAAAUUCUCGCCUUCCACAACAGAGAUAAACAUAUAACUUCUGAACCUUAGUAUUAGAGAGGGGCACGAUAUCCUGAAGUUCUAACAUAUCAGGAUCGUGAUCCAAGUUUAAGAACCUUAAUGAAUGUAUCACUCUCACCAUUCGUAUCUCUAAUGCCAUAAGACAAUGGAAACUUCUUCUUCCAACAUAAUUUAUCUUUUCCAAGCACCACUGCUCCACAAAAACAGUCCUUGAGACAAGUUGCUUUACACCUUUCUUCAUCAUAAUUUGAAUACCUCUUGUAAUCCCCUGACGGCCAAUUUGUCAUCCUCAAAGUCACAAACUCGUAGAGAUUUGCAUCCUGGUCCGCUGCUGCUGUUUGGUUACUCUCUCGUCCACAAAUUUGCAUCUCAAAAUCAGGUUUACAAUCACCAUACUCGUCAUCUGGAUCCACCAACAAAAACCUCUUGGGGCAUUCACAUCUUGGCCUAUUAUUAUCUCCUAAAAUGCAUAUAUUAUUAAACCCACAAGCUAGAUUCCCAAGCUCAUUAGCAUCAAGAUACGGUCCAAACCUCUUUGCACAUAUAUUCUCUGGUUCAGACCAAGCCAGAGACCAUCCAUUAUCACUAUUAUUAACCCCUUGCCUCUUGGGAUGAUAGUACUGAGAGAAAACCCCGUCGAAAUGUAAAACGGCACGGUGAUAAAAGUCUUUGGACGGUACUGGAUCUUUAUUGUUGACAUAGAAUCUCGUUGUAUUGUCGUUCAUUACUACAUACAUGUAGCCUGUCUCGUUGAAAACCAAUCGAUUCCCGGGAUUAUGAGGGUCUUUUGUGUUACUUGAGUAGUACGAAAAGUAUACAUCUGUUUCUGCUAGCGUCUCGCUGUUGAGAGUAAGAAGCUGGAGAUCUCCAUCGUCACCUAAACGUAGCCUGAAUCUUCCUUUCUGGAAGCUAGUCUCUUUGAGGCGAGAUGAGAGAUUCCCUCUAACUUCAAUACUCUGCAUCAUCAUCACCAUACACCCGACCAUAUAUAUGUGAUGUGUACUUACAAUUAGACGGAUGUAACUUUUUGUUAAUUUUUUAAAUAAAAAACUUGACAUGCAUUUUAAGUGAGUAGCAAAUCAUUUUUUCGUAAUUGUAUGUAUAUCAUAUGAACUUAAAGUAUGUGUAGUAUCAAUAUAAAUAUUUUAUAUAAAAUUAGAGAUAUAAACUAGAAAUAUAAGGUUAAUUAUACAUAUAUUCGGUUAUCUUCGGAUAUCCAUUCGGGUUCGGGUAUUAUCCGUUCGGGUUCGGGUAUCCAAUCUCUCCUUAUUCAAUACCCGUUCGGGUAUUUUGCAACUUCGGUUCGGAUUUCGGUUCGGAUUUUUCGGAUCGGGUUCGGGUGCCACUUCGGAUAUCGGGUAAAGUGCCCACCCCUAGCUGCAAAUCGCAUUUGCAAACCGCAAUUGCCAACAACAAAUAACAACAAAUAAACGAAUAGAAGUAUAGAACCAUAGUUGUUAAACUCCCAGCCCAUAAUAUAUCAAGUUUGGAAGAAAACAUAACUUUUUAUUGAAAAAUUGAUUAGUCUUAGAGAAACUAGGGUGAUAACCUCUUUUUAAAAACAUGGGUAAAAUUUUCCUAAAAACUCAUAUUUUCAUGAUUAGGUUAUAUUAUUCUCAAAUCUAGAACUAUUUUAUUUUAGAUGAGUUGUUUUUUUUCUUUAUUCUUAUAAUAAUCUAUUCCGUUUUUCAUAUUUUUCUUUUUAUGCAUGAAUUUUUGUCGUAUUCUUUUCUCACUACCAUUGUCAUGAUUUAUCCAGGGCCGUGUCUAAUUUUUUUGGGCUUAGAAGCCAAAAAAUAUUUUUUUGGCCCUUAGGUAUAAUAUUGGUAAAAAUAUUAUGUAGUAAGAAUCAAAUGUGUCAACAAAUUUAAUAAAACCUAACCAACCAAUAAUUUUUCAAAUUGACCCUUAAAGUAUAUUUAACAAAAUUGACCCUGAAGCACAUGUUUGAUGGGCUCAUACUCAAACACAGCCUUAGUUUUAUCCUAUUCCACAAAAUAAUUACUAAAAUUAAAAAUGAAUCUUACUUUUUAAAUAGAAUCAACAAAAUAUGGUUUUCACUACAAAACACUUUGUUUUAAGACACGUCAAUUAUGGUUUUAUAUAAAUCUAAAAAGUUCAAAAUGGUUUGUUAGAACAAUCUAAGAGUAAUCUCAUAACAUACUAUUUACUCUUUUGAUAGAGCCAAAACAUACCACCAUUGGUAUCUCAAUUAUUUUGAUUUUUGAUCUGAUUUUAGAUAUUAUGCUUUCAAGCCACUCCACUUGCUUAGGUGUGAAGUCAUCCUUCUCUUUUUGAAUAGUAAUUAAACAUGAAGCAUAUUUAAUUUUAUACCCAUUUUAGGGAAAUUGCACUGUAUGACAUCCAAAAAAAUUAUAAUUAACUCAGUGACCAAUUGCCCUAUUAUACCAAUAUACUUUAUGUCUAUUAUGUAAUAAUACAUUUUUACCCUUGUAUACAACCGGUGUAACCUGCAGAAAGAAAAUAAAUAUAAAUUAUUUUUUGUUUAUUCUAGAGAAGUAAAUGUGUCUUUUCUUUUGACACAAAUUGUAAAUGAUAAUAAUUGUGAAAGCUCAAUGCUUUCUUCUCCAUUUUGUCCGCCACGGAAAUCACCGAGUAUAUCACCGGCGACGUUUGUGGAGUACCAGCCCGAUUGUGACGCCUUUGUUGGAGAUGGGAGACAAAGGAUUCACGGCUUCUGAACUCGGACGUAACAUCUCUGUGAGUAAUUUCUCGCUUCGAGAUUCAACACUUCGUGAAGACCAUACUUAAACACUUGUAAAUUUUGAUUUUGGAGCUGGUAGUUGUACUGCUUUAGUUGAUCGGAGAAGAUAAACAUUUUUUCUAACAUUAUGUUCUAUUCUAUUUAUAUGCAUAUGGAAUAGAAAUAUAAACUAAUAUGUAUUAUAAGUGUUCUGUUCAUGUUAUAUAAUGUGAAUUAGUCUGUUACUAUUUUUUUUUACCAUGUACCUUUUUAUUUGAGCAUUCAUAAAGAAUGUAUUAUUUUGUUCCCCAAUUUGUACUAACCAUUCUAUUUGGAUUUGAGGUUUAUACUUGGGUUUAGUGAUUAAAAUUUAGAGUUUAGUAUUUGGAAGUGGGGGUUGAGGUUUGGGUUUAAUGACUCUAUUAUGUAUCCAUUUGCCGAUUAAUAAAUAAUAUACUAUUUCGUUCUCGAUAUGUACUAUACUAUAUAUUUUGUUUCAUUCUAUUUAGGUUUGGGAUCUACUUGGAUUUAUGGUUUAAUGAGUAGGAUUUAGGGUUUAGUAUUUGGAAGGUGGUGGUUAAGGUUUGGGUUUAGUGACCCUAUCAUAUAUCGUUCCAUUUGACGAUUAAUAAAAAGUGUUCUAUUUUGUUCACCAUUAUAUAUUAUACUAUGUAUUUUGUUACAUUCUAUUUGGGUUUGGGGUAUAUACUUGGGUUUAUGGUCUAUAAUUGGGUUUAAGGAUUAGUGAUUAUGAUUUAGGGUUUAGUAUUUGGAAAGUGGAGGUUGAGUUUUGGAUUUAGUGAUAACAGUUUAAAGUUUAGCAUUCAAACUUUAGAUUUAGAUUUAGAGUUUAUAUAUGAGUUUAUGGAUUAUAUUUGGUUUUAAGGUUUACUGGUUAGGGUUUAGGGUUUAGUGAUUAUAGUUUAGGAUUUAUUAUUUAGAUGUUUGUGGAUUUGAGAUCAAAUUUAUUAUUUAGGGAUUAUGAUAUAGUUAAAUAUUUUAUACUAUUUUGAUGAUAUGGAAUAUAACAUUCCGAUUUAAUUGUGAAAAGUAAAUGGAAUAUACUAUUUAUUGUAAGAGUAAUUUAUUUUCGUGAACAGAUUUACUGAACGAAGAAACAUAUGAAGUAGUUACGUAAAUGAUGUGGAUGGAUUUGGUGUCUUCAUUUUCAACAGUGUGCAGUAAAUAUUGACCAUACCUUAUUUUCUUCAACGUCAUCUACGUGACUUAUUCACCGGUUACUUGUACCAGAAGAGGGUAUAACCGACUAAACUUGAGCUAAAUGUUAUUGACUUAAUAAUGUCAAAAUCAUUGUCAUAUUUUUAAUUAUGCUUCUAAAAUUGGCUAUUUGGCAAAUUAACCCUUAAUUUUAUAACCACACAAAGUAGUAGUUAGGAUUUGUCUAGGACUCGUGUAAUCUUGCAUUCUUAUAGUUUAUUAUUAGACGACAAUGUCAUUUGUACCAGUUGGAUAAUUUUAUGCUUUCAUGUUCCUCAAAACAUACAUACUUAGAAGAAAAAUAUCACAAUAAGAUACUAAGUCACAUUAUUCAUAGGCAUCAACACGGAUAUAGAUCCAAAUUUAAGGCCCAUUUUGCAUACAUGAAGAAAAUCUUUAUUCGUGCUAUGCACUUUUCACUAAAAAUUAGUUUAAGUUUUUCCAUUAUUCCGGGAUAUCCUAGAUUAAUAAAAAAACACAAUAAAAUACUAUUAUUACGAUCUUUUAGAUUUCAUUUAUUUUUAAUUCUUUUUAGAAUCAUAAAUUUUCAUUUUCAAUCCAAAAUUAUGGAAUUACACUAAAAUCACACAAUCCUACAAUAGUCUCACACAUUUCCAGUUUAGUUGUAAAAUUGAGUUAUAAUUUCGCAUUGUUAUAAUAAAAAAAUAAAUUCCCAUCGUUAUAAUUUUGUAAUUAAACCAUAAUGUUAAUACGUUAUCUUGAAAUAAAAACUACGUUAUGUAAUUACGAGAUAACAAUUUUUAUAACUAACAGAAAUCAGACAAAAUAAGCUAUGCUCAACUUGUCAUGAUGAUGUUCUUGAUUUUGUGAGCUUCAUACACGAAAACCAUAUAUACCUCGAUUCGCUUUCUCUUUAAAAUUCUCGCCUUCCACAACAGAGAUAAACAUAUAACUUCUGAACCUUAGUAUUAGAGAGGGGCACGAUAUCCUGAAGUUCUAACAUAUCAGGAUCGUGAUCCAAGUUUAAGAACCUUAAUGAAUGUAUCACUCUCACCAUUCGUAUCUCUAAUGCCAUAAGACAAUGGAAACUUCUUCUUCCAACAUAAUUUAUCUUUUCCAAGCACCACUGCUCCACAAAAACAGUCCUUGAGACAAGUUGCUUUACACCUUUCUUCAUCAUAAUUUGAAUACCUCUUGUAAUCCCCUGACGGCCAAUUUGUCAUCCUCAAAGUCACAAACUCGUAGAGAUUUGCAUCCUGGUCCGCUGCUGCUGUUUGGUUACUCUCUCGUCCACAAAUUUGCAUCUCAAAAUCAGGUUUACAAUCACCAUACUCGUCAUCUGGAUCCACCAACAAAAACCUCUUGGGGCAUUCACAUCUUGGCCUAUUAUUAUCUCCUAAAAUGCAUAUAUUAUUAAACCCACAAGCUAGAUUCCCAA